UAAGCUCUCAGACCACAUCAUCCAUUUGACGUGGCUUUGGACGCGGGGGUUGCUGGCUUUCUUCUCAGAGGAGGGCCUGCUCCCCUGAAAAGCAUUAGUGGUAUCUGGAGUGGAAAACCGCUAGGUGUGAUAAUACUGUCUAUGCCUUUGGUUAUGCCAGAAUGUGCUGCUUCCAACCACACAAUUUUUGACAA
Molecule: unclassified non-coding RNA, 194 nt
Filed under: uncultured Inocybe
Lineage: Eukaryota; Fungi; Basidiomycota; Agaricomycetes; Agaricales; Cortinariaceae
Description: sequence contains ITS2
Source: RNAcentral